This 445-nucleotide ribosomal RNA is filed under the name uncultured prokaryote. RNAcentral describes it as "partial 16S ribosomal RNA". The record is from RNAcentral.
CCCUACGGGGCGCACUUAUCCACGAACCACCAACAAAACUGAGAAACGUUCCCAACUGAAAGGUAUUCAUGAUGUGCCGGCUUCGCGUUUUGGUGGUGGACGACGAGGAGUAUGUUCGCGCCGCUAUUAUGCGUUGGCUUGAACUUCGUGGAUUCAGCGCGGAAUCCGCUCAGGACGGGGUGGACGCGGUAGAAAAGUGCCGGCAGAACACGUAUGACGCGGUAAUCAUGGACCUGGAAAUGCCUCGUAUGAGCGGAAUUGAGGCUAUCUCCAUCAUACAGCAGGAUUUCCCGAAGUUGCCCAUUGUGGUGCUCUCCGGGUAUGUGCAAGGGAUGCAUGAGGUGGCAUUGCGGGGAAUUGCCAAGGUUCUCCAGAAGCCCGUUCCUCUUCGCCAACUGGAAGCGGAAGUCCGACAGGUAGUCCUGGAUUCAGCUUCCGGGGGGGC